CUCAAUUACAUCGAAAAUAAUAUGCCCAAUGUAUGACCUACACACUAUUUUGAUGUUACAGUGCUGUAAAAUAGACAUUUAAAUUUCCGAUUUUUAAGUGUGAAUUUCCAUAGAUGGUUUGAUGGGUCCAUGUUCCAUUUUGGACCAUCUUAGCAGGUUGUUUUUUUCCAACUAUCCCAUAAAAGCAUUAGGCAUACUAUUUCUUAAAGAAGACAUCCCAGGGUAUUUCAAAAGGCAUAUUUUGAAUCUUAGCGUGGGAUAAUUU
Molecule: non-coding RNA, 265 nt
Organism: Pelobates cultripes (western spadefoot toad)
Lineage: Eukaryota; Metazoa; Chordata; Amphibia; Anura; Pelobatidae
Source: the annotation of a GenBank genome assembly